Molecule: long non-coding RNA, 779 nt
Organism: Bubalus bubalis (water buffalo)
Lineage: Eukaryota; Metazoa; Chordata; Mammalia; Artiodactyla; Bovidae
Exons: 2
Source: RefSeq, a predicted model, not a curated record
CCGGAUUGUUCAGGCGGAAUAAUAAAACCUGCCAAUCCGGGCAAGGACAAAGGGAUGACUGAAACGAGACUCCGGGGGCGGGGGAGAGAGCCAGGCGGAGGAGCGGGCCGAGGCUGGAGCGGGGAAGGGCCGGUAUCAGGUGAUGGUUCUCUGAGAAUAUCCUGUAGACACCCAGAGGUUCCACACAGACCCACGUCACCAUCUGUGCCCCCAGAAAGGCCAGAUUAUUUGAUGCUGAUACGGCAACUUCCACAUCAAAAUGCCCUAGCUCUUGCUCAAGAAUAAACAAACAUUUAAACCUUUUAAAGGCAAUGUAAAAUUGUUUUUGAAGGCAGUCUUUUUAGAAAGCCCCGCCUUUUUUUUUAAUCUGCCUACCUUUAUUGCUCUCAUCAUAGAGAUCCCUUGAAAUCAAAAGAUUCAGUCAAAGUGAAUCUGAAAAGCUUGAGUCUGGGACGAUUUUAAAGUAUAAAAGGUGUGGCGAGAAGAAGAGGCAAUGAUAGUUACCGACAGAUGUCAUGAGGAAGACAGAAGGCAAAUGGCAUGUAGGUGGCUGCCAGUUUUCAUGGUGGUGGUGUUGGCUAGGGAGUGGGAAGGUAUUGCACAGUAGUAGAGACAGAGAGACUGCAGCAUUUCAGAAUAGGGAUUCCUCUACAUUGUGACACAAAUGAAUUUAUCUAUGAAACAGAAACAGGCUCACAGACAUAGAGAACAGUGCUGUGGUUGCCAAGAAAGAGAGGGUGGGGGGUUUGAAAUUAGCAGAUGCAAACUAUUCCAGUUGA